UAAUACGGAGGGUGCAAGCGUUAUCCGGAUUUAUUGGGUUUAAAGGGUCCGUAGGCGGACCUGUAAGUCAGUGGUGAAAUCUCAUAGCUUAACUAUGAAACUGCCAUUGAUACUGCAGGUCUUGAGUAAAUUUGAAGUGGCUGGAAUAAGUAGUGUAGCGGUGAAAUGCAUAGAUAUUACUUAGAACACCAAUUGCGAAGGCAGGUCACUAAGAUUUAACUGACGCUGAUGGACGAAAGCGUGGGUAGCGAACAGGAUUAGAUACCCUGGUAGUCCACGCCGUAAACGAUGCUAACUCGUUUUUGGAUUUUCGGAUUCAGAGACCAAGCGAAAGUGAUAAGUUAGCCACCUGGGGAGUACGUUCGCAAGAAUGAAACUCAAAGGAAUUGACGGGGGCCCGCACAAGCGGUGGAUUAUGUGGUUUAAUUCGAUGAUACGCGAGGAACCUUACCAAGACUUAAAUGGGAAUUGACAGAUUUAGAAAUAGAUCCUCCUUCGGGCAA
This 503-nucleotide ribosomal RNA is filed under the name uncultured Chryseobacterium sp. RNAcentral's name for it is "bacterial SSU rRNA". It matches the Rfam family "Bacterial small subunit ribosomal RNA", at positions 521 to 1029 of the family's 1533-position model. Lineage: Bacteria; Pseudomonadati; Bacteroidota; Flavobacteriia; Flavobacteriales; Weeksellaceae. The record is from RNAcentral.